AUUGAACGCUGGCGGCAAGCCUAACACAUGCAAGUCGAGCGGAUGACGGGAGCUUGCUCCUUGAUUCAGCGGCGGACGGGUGAGUAAUGCCUAGGAAUCUGCCUGGUAGUGGGGGACAACGUUUCGAAAGGAACGCUAAUACCGCAUACGUCCUACGGGAGAAAGCAGGGGACCUUCGGGCCUUGCGCUAUCAGAUGAGCCUAGGUCGGAUUAGCUAGUUGGUGGGGUAAUGGCUCACCAAGGCGACGAUCCGUAACUGGUCUGAGAGGAUGAUCAGUCACACUGGAACUGAGACACGGUCCAGACUCCUACGGGAGGCAGCAGUGGGGAAUAUUGGACAAUGGGCGAAAGCCUGAUCCAGCCAUGCCGCGUGUGUGAAGAAGGUCUUCGGAUUGUAAAGCACUUUAAGUUGGGAGGAAGGGCAGUAAGUUAAUACCUUGCUGUUUUGACGUUACCGGCAGAAUAAGCACCGGCUAACUCUGUGCCAGCCGCCGCCGUAA
Molecule: ribosomal RNA, 500 nt
Filed under: uncultured bacterium
Lineage: Bacteria
Description: partial 16S ribosomal RNA
Rfam family: Bacterial small subunit ribosomal RNA
Source: RNAcentral